CCUUUUUUUUUUUUUUUUAGCUUCUGAGGAGUUUUUUUAAGUUAGGGAGUGACAGAAAUGCAGAUUAAAGUAAUGAAAAAUGAGGCAGUGAGACUGAUUAAGAGUUGUUGCAGUUGACAGAGAGUCUGAAGAAAGUGUAGCUGUGGGAAUGAAGAGGAGGGGAUUUUAGAAAUACUGUACUUCUGAGAUUGAUUCAGCUUCUUAGGAAGAGAGUGGGCUAGGAUUUCUAAUUUCAGAGAGUGGAUGUGUGGGGAUUUCAUUGACAAGAUAUGGAUUAGAAAAAGUAGAGCAAGUUUUUAAAGGUUAGGGUAUGGAAAGAGGCAUAGGGGAUAUGGUGUGGUAUGCCGAGCUCAGGUUGCUUGUAGGAUGUACAGAUGGAGACCUUAGUAGGCAGCUGUAAGUGAGAGACCUGGUGAGCUUAAUAUAUUGGCACCAGCUCUGAGUGAGGGCAUAUAUGAAAAAAGUCUUGGGGAAAAAAUAAUGUUUUUUUUUUUGUCUAUAGGAAGUAGCAGAUUAUGCACUUCCUCCACUUAAUAAUGAGCUUCUCAAGGCAGGGACUGUAACUUAGUAAUUUUUUGGUCCCUUUCUGUCUUACACUAUGCUUGUGUUAUUUAUAAGAUCUGAAUAAGUGUUAUUAAAGUAGCAGGAAAUCAGUUUACUUUGUAAGAUUGCAGGUACCUUUUGGGCUUCCUUUAAGAAGAUUAUGGGGUCAGGUGAGGUGGCUCACGCCUGUAAUCCCAGCACUUUGGGAGGCUGAGACUGGUGGAUUGCUUGAGCUCAAGAGUUCAAGACCAGCCUGGGCAAGAUAGCAAAACCCUGUCUCUACAAAAAAUACAAAAGUUAGCUGGGUGUGGUAGUGUGAGCCUGUAGUCCCAGCUACUCAGGAGGCUGAGGUGGGAGGGUGGUGUGAGCCCAGGAGGUUGAGGCUGCAGUGAGCUGUGAUUGUGCUACUGCAUUCCAGCUUGGGCAAGGAGGGAAACUGCCUUUUGAUUGGGUGGGGGCGGGGGCUGGGGAGAAGAUGAUUUUGGGACUUUAUCUUAUAAUUUUCAUUUUAAUUGAGAUUGUGUUCAUGAGGCUUAUAUAAUUGAACAGGAGAAGAAAUGAGAAGAUAUGAGUCACGGUGUGCUGUGUGAGGAAGUUCAGGGCUGGAGCAGGAGACAGACAGUAUUAAUUUAUAGGAAUCUCCUGCUCAUUGACAAGAUCUUACCAUGAAUUUUCAUUCUGGGAUGUGUCAGAAAAUGUGGUUUCCAAUCGGAAUUUCCUGAAAUCCUGUCAAUCUGGAACUGGUUCCCCCUUUGGAAGGAGGAAUGCAUUCCUUCUUGUGUAGGAUAACUUGAAAGGGAACCUAAAGUCAUGUUUAUUUAAAUGAAUGAGAACUCAUCUUCAUUGUCCAUUUGUAACAUUAGGCAAACUCAGUAGAUGUUGCUGGGACCAGAUUGAAUUGUCUUCUGUGAAGCUAGUUGACCUGUAGUAGGUACAGACUGUGGCUGAUACCUGGAAAAGUCUUGGUUUUGCCACUUGCCUCUUAGUCUUGGGAAAGUCUCUGAGUUACUUCCACUUUCAGGUAUAGGCUGAACACCCAUUCUGAGGGGAACAUUGUCUAGAGCACACAAGCUACGGACCCUGCCUUGUAGUGGUUCGUGUGCUUCCUUAAUCAGUCUGGUUCUGUCCUAGCUUCUAGAAAAUAGGGAUGAUGCUUGUCAGGUGAUGUCCUGAGUUGACUGACUUUUCUUUCUUUUUUUCUUUUUUCUUUUUUUUUUUUGAGAUAGAGUCUCCCAGCCGGACACGGUGGCUCAAGCCUGUAAUCCCAGCACUUUGGAAGGCCGAGACGGGCAGAUCACGAGGUCAGGAGAUCGAGACCAUCCUGGCUAACACGGUGAAACCCCGUCUCUACUAAAAUACAAAAAAAAUUAGCCGGGCGAGGUGGCGGGCGCCUCCUCCUGAGUAGCUGGGAUUACAGGCCCCCUCCACCACACCUAGCUACUUUUUGUAUUUUUAGUAGAGAUGGUGUUUCACCAUGUUGGCCAGGCUGGUCUCGAACUCUUGACCUCAGAUGGUCCCUCCACCUCGGCCUCCCAAAGUGCUGAUAUUACAGGCAUGAGCCACCGCGCCUGGCUGACUUUUCUUUCUUUGUUUUUUUUUUUGAGACAGAGUCUUGCUCUGUCGCCCAAGCUGGAGCUGGAGUGCAGUGGUACGAUCUCAGCUCACUGCAACCUCUUCCUCCCAGGUUCAAGCAAUUCUCGUGCCUCAGCUUUCUGACUGGCUGGGACUACAGGCAUGUGCCACCAGGCCGGCUAAUUUUUGUAUAUUUAGUAGAGAUGGGGUUUUACCCUGUUGGCCAGGCUGGUCUUGAACUCCUGACCUCAAGUGAUCCACCUGCCUUGGCCUCCCAAAGUGUUGGGAUUACAGACAUGAGCCACCAUGUUUGGUGAGUUGAUUGACUUUUCUUGGAUAAAAUGGGAGUGUUGAUAUUAUGGAUAUCAGUUUGGAGUUUCCAUAGAAGUGUUACUUUAACUGAAUCUUUUUUUUUAUUUUUUGAGACUGAGUCUUGCUCUAUCGCCCAGGCUGGAGUACAGUGGCGCCAUCUCAGCUCACUGCAACCACUGCCUUCCAGGUUCAAGCGAUUCUCGUGCCUCAGACUCCUGAGUAGCUGGGAUUACAGUGAAUCCGGUUUUUAAUGGUCUAGUUAGCUCCUGAUGUUUUGCACUAACAGGACAUUCUGAUAGGGAGAAGCGCUACCAGAGAGAAAGAUUUAAUGGCUUUAUCACUUACUAGUUGUGUUGCUUUGAGCAAAGUAAUAUCCUCAUUGUAAAAAUAGGUUGGGGCUGGGUGCAGUGGCUCAUGCCUGUAAUUCUAGCACUUUGGGGGGCCUAGGUGGGAGGAUUGCUUGAGCCCAGGAGUUCGAGACCAACCCGAGCAACAUGGUGAAACUCAAUCUUUACAAAAAAUAUGAAAAGUUAGCCAGGCCUGGUGCCAUAUGCCUGUAGUCCCAGCUACCCAGGAGGCUGAGGUCAGAGGAUCACUGAGGCUACAGUGAGCCAUGAUUGUGCCACUGCACUUCAGCCUUGGUGAUAGAGACCCUAUCUCAAAAAAAAAAAAAAAAAAAAAAAAAAAAAAAAAAAAAAAAAA
This 3129-nucleotide long non-coding RNA is filed under the name Macaca mulatta (Rhesus monkey). Its description in RNAcentral is "lncRNA (ENSMMUG00000062359.1)". The record is from RNAcentral. Lineage: Eukaryota; Metazoa; Chordata; Mammalia; Primates; Cercopithecidae.